Molecule: ribosomal RNA, 464 nt
Filed under: Vreelandella stevensii
Lineage: Bacteria; Pseudomonadati; Pseudomonadota; Gammaproteobacteria; Oceanospirillales; Halomonadaceae
Description: partial 16S ribosomal RNA
Rfam family: Bacterial small subunit ribosomal RNA
Source: RNAcentral
CCUACGGGGGGCAGCAGUGGGGAAUAUUGGACAAUGGGCGAAAGCCUGAUCCAGCCAUGCCGCGUGUGUGAAGAAGGCCUUCGGGUUGUAAAGCACUUUCAGUGGGGAAGAAAGCCUUGGGGCUAAUACCCUCGAGGAAGGACAUCACCCACAGAAGAAGCACCGGCUAACUCCGUGCCAGCAGCCGCGGUAAUACGGAGGGUGCGAGCGUUAAUCGGAAUUACUGGGCGUAAAGCGCGCGUAGGCGGUCUGAUAAGCCGGUUGUGAAAGCCCCGGGCUCAACCUGGGAACGGCAUCCGGAACUGUCAGGCUAGAGUGCAGGAGAGGAAGGUAGAAUUCCCGGUGUAGCGGUGAAAUGCGUAGAGAUCGGGAGGAAUACCAGUGGUGAAGGCGGCCUUCUGGACUGACACUGACGCUGAGGUGCGAAAGCGUGGGUAGCAAACAGGAUUAGAACCCGGGUAGUC